CAGCCGCCGCGGUAAUACGUAGGUGGCAAGCGUUGUCCGGAAUUAUUGGGUGUAAAGGGCUCGCAGGCGGUUUCUUAAGUCUAAUGUGAAAGCCCCCGGCUCAACCGGGGAGGGUCAUUGGAAACUGGGAAACUUGAGUGCAGAAGAGGAGAGUGGAAUUCCACGUGUAGCGGUGAAAUGCGUAGAGAUGCGGAGGAACACCAGUGGCGAAGGCGACUCUCUGGUCUGUAACUGACGCUGAGGAGCGAAAGCGUGGGGAGCGAACAGGAUUAGAUACCCCCGUAGUCCCUGUCUCUUAUAC
RNAcentral lists this ribosomal RNA (301 nucleotides) under uncultured bacterium. RNAcentral describes it as "partial 16S ribosomal RNA". It matches the Rfam family "Bacterial small subunit ribosomal RNA", at positions 509 to 807 of the family's 1533-position model. The record is from RNAcentral.